RNAcentral lists this ribosomal RNA (2126 nucleotides) under Escherichia coli. RNAcentral's name for it is "partial 23S ribosomal RNA". It matches the Rfam family "Bacterial large subunit ribosomal RNA", at positions 823 to 2925 of the family's 2925-position model. RNAcentral also lists the same sequence under 1 other name. The record is from RNAcentral. Lineage: Bacteria; Pseudomonadati; Pseudomonadota; Gammaproteobacteria; Enterobacterales; Enterobacteriaceae.
GAAAGGCCAAUCAAACCGGGAGAUAGCUGGUUCUCCCCGAAAGCUAUUUAGGUAGCGCCUCGUGAAUUCAUCUCCGGGGGUAGAGCACUGUUUCGGCAAGGGGGUCAUCCCGACUUACCAACCCGAUGCAAACUGCGAAUACCGGAGAAUGUUAUCACGGGAGACACACGGCGGGUGCUAACGUCCGUCGUGAAGAGGGAAACAACCCAGACCGCCAGCUAAGGUCCCAAAGUCAUGGUUAAGUGGGAAACGAUGUGGGAAGGCCCAGACAGCCAGGAUGUUGGCUUAGAAGCAGCCAUCAUUUAAAGAAAGCGUAAUAGCUCACUGGUCGAGUCGGCCUGCGCGGAAGAUGUAACGGGGCUAAACCAUGCACCGAAGCUGCGGCAGCGACACUAUGUGUUGUUGGGUAGGGGAGCGUUCUGUAAGCCUGUGAAGGUGGCCUGUGAGGGUUGCUGGAGGUAUCAGAAGUGCGAAUGCUGACAUAAGUAACGAUAAAGCGGGUGAAAAGCCCGCUCGCCGGAAGACCAAGGGUUCCUGUCCAACGUUAAUCGGGGCAGGGUGAGUCGACCCCUAAGGCGAGGCCGAAAGGCGUAGUCGAUGGGAAACAGGUUAAUAUUCCUGUACUUGGUGUUACUGCGAAGGGGGGACGGAGAAGGCUAUGUUGGCCGGGCGACGGUUGUCCCGGUUUAAGCGUGUAGGCUGGUUUUCCAGGCAAAUCCGGAAAACCAAGGCUGAGGCGUGAUGACGAGGCACUACGGUGCUGAAGCGACAAAUGCCCUGCUUCCAGGAAAAGCCUCUAAGCAUCAGGUAACAUCAAAUCGUACCCCAAACCGACACAGGUGGUCAGGUAGAGAAUACCAAGGCGCUUGAGAGAACUCGGGUGAAGGAACUAGGCAAAAUGGUGCCGUAACUUCGGGAGAAGGCACGCUGAUAUGUAGGUGAAGCGACUUGCUCGUGGAGCUGAAAUCAGUCGAAGAUACCAGCUGGCUGCAACUGUUUAUUAAAAACACAGCACUGUGCAAACACGAAAGUGGACGUAUACGGUGUGACGCCUGCCCGGUGCCGGAAGGUUAAUUGAUGGGGUUAGCGGUAACGCGAAGCUCUUGAUCGAAGCCCCGGUAAACGGCGGCCGUAACUAUAACGGUCCUAAGGUAGCGAAAUUCCUUGUCGGGUAAGUUCCGACCUGCACGAAUGGCGUAAUGAUGGCCAGGCUGUCUCCACCCGAGACUCAGUGAAAUUGAACUCGCUGUGAAGAUGCAGUGUACCCGCGGCAAGACGGAAAGACCCCGUGAACCUUUACUAUAGCUUGACACUGAACAUUGAGCCUUGAUGUGUAGGAUAGGUGGGAGGCUUUGAAGUGUGGACGCCAGUCUGCAUGGAGCCGACCUUGAAAUACCACCCUUUAAUGUUUGAUGUUCUAACGUUGGCCCCUAAUCGGGGUUGCGGACAGUGUCUGGUGGGUAGUUUGACUGGGGCGGUCUCCUCCUAAAGAGUAACGGAGGAGCACGAAGGUUGGCUAAUCCUGGUCGGACAUCAGGAGGUUAGUGCAAUGGCAUAAGCCAGCUUGACUGCGAGCGUGACGGCGCGAGCAGGUGCGAAAGCAGGUCAUAGUGAUCCGGUGGUUCUGAAUGGAAGGGCCAUCGCUCAACGGAUAAAAGGUACUCCGGGGAUAACAGGCUGAUACCGCCCAAGAGUUCAUAUCGACGGCGGUGUUUGGCACCUCGAUGUCGGCUCAUCACAUCCUGGGGCUGAAGUAGGUCCCAAGGGUAUGGCUGUUCGCCAUUUAAAGUGGUACGCGAGCUGGGUUUAGAACGUCGUGAGACAGUUCGGUCCCUAUCUGCCGUGGGCGCUGGAGAACUGAGGGGGGCUGCUCCUAGUACGAGAGGACCGGAGUGGACGCAUCACUGGUGUUCGGGUUGUCAUGCCAAUGGCACUGCCCGGUAGCUAAAUGCGGAAGAGAUAAGUGCUGAAAGCAUCUAAGCACGAAACUUGCCCCGAGAUGAGUUCUCCCUGAGACUUAGAGUCUCCUGAAGGAACGUUGAAGACGACGACGUUGAUAGGCCGGGUGUGUAAGCGCAGCGAUGCGUUGAGCUAACCGGUACUAAUGAACCGUGAGGCUUAACCUU